UGUUGAAAAUUUCAUUCAAUUCUAUUAUUAAAAAUUGGCAUGGUGGAUAGAAUAAACAAACAGUGACAAGUGGUGCGCCACAUGUAUCUCAUGUUAAUGUACAGAAAUCGAUUUUUAGCAAUAGAAAUGAAUAAAAUUUUUAACA
Molecule: non-coding RNA, 145 nt
Organism: Gossypium hirsutum (cotton)
Lineage: Eukaryota; Viridiplantae; Streptophyta; Magnoliopsida; Malvales; Malvaceae
Source: Rfam